UACGAAGGGGGCUAGCGUUGUUCGGAAUUACUGGGCGUAAAGGGAGCGUAGGCGGACGACUAAGUCAGAGGUGAAAGCCCAGGGCUCAACCCUGGAAUUGCCUUUGAUACUGACUGUCUUGAGUACGGGAGAGGUGUGUGGAACUCCGAGUGUAGAGGUGAAAUUCGUAGAUAUUCGGAAGAACACCAGUGGCGAAGGCGACACACUGGCCCGUUACUGACGCUGAGGCGCGAAAGCGUGGGGAGCAAACAGG
RNAcentral lists this ribosomal RNA (253 nucleotides) under uncultured bacterium. Its description in RNAcentral is "partial 16S ribosomal RNA". It matches the Rfam family "Bacterial small subunit ribosomal RNA", at positions 524 to 776 of the family's 1533-position model. The record is from RNAcentral.